GUCGUGGCAGUCAGGAGACAGGGAAUGGGGGGGGUUGGAUGGGGAGAGUCCUGGGGUGGGGGGCCAGGCUGUUUGGGGAGGCACAGCCUUCCCUACCAGGACCUCCAUACAGUUGUGCAACCCUGCUGUGGCCCUUGGACCAAAA
Molecule: long non-coding RNA, 145 nt
Organism: Dermochelys coriacea (leatherback sea turtle)
Lineage: Eukaryota; Metazoa; Chordata; Testudines; Dermochelyidae
Exons: 2
Source: RefSeq, a predicted model, not a curated record